UCUCAGUAAGCUUGCUUCUAUGACGUUAGCGGCGGACGGGUGAGUAACACGUGGGCAACCUGCCUGUAAGACUGGGAUAACUUCGGGAAACCGAAGCUAAUACCGGAUAGGAUCUUCUCCUUCAUGGGAGAUGAUUGAAAGAUGGUUUCGGCUAUCACUUACAGAUGGGCCCGCGGUGCAUUAGCUAGUUGGUGAGGUAACGGCUCACCAAGGCAACGAUGCAUAGCCGACCUGAGAGGGUGAUCGGCCACACUGGGACUGAGACACGGCCCAGACUCCUACGGGAGGCAGCAGUAGGGAAUCUUCCGCAAUGGACGAAAGUCUGACGGAGCAACGCCGCGUGAGUGAUGAAGGCUUUCGGGUCGUAAAACUCUGUUGUUAGGGAAGAACAAGUACGAGAGUAACUGCUCGUACCUUGACGGUACCUAACCAGAAAGCCACGGCUAACUACGUGCCAGCAGCCGCGGUAAUACGUAGGUGGCAAGCGUUAUCCGGAAUUAUUGGGCGUAAAGCGCGCGCAGGCGGUUUCUUAAGUCUGAUGUGAAAGCCCACGGCUCAACCGUGGAGGGUCAUUGGAAACUGGGGAACUUGAGUGCAGAAGAGAAAAGCGGAAUUCCACGUGUAGCGGUGAAAUGCGUAGAGAUGUGGAGGAACACCAGUGGCGAAGGCGGCUUUUUGGUCUGUAACUGACGCUGAGGCGCGAAAGCGUGGGAGCAAACAGGAUUAGAUACCCUGGUAGUCCACGCCGUAAACGAUGAGUGCUAAGUGUUAGAGGGUUUCCGCCCUUUAGUGCUGCAGCUAACGCAUUAAGCACUCCGCCUGGGGAGUACGGUCGCAAGACUGAAACUCAAAGGAAUUGACGGGGGCCCGCACAAGCGGUGGAGCAUGUGGUUUAAUUCGAAGCAACGCGAAGAACCUUACCAGUCUUGACAUCCUCUGACACUCUAGAGAUAGAGCGUU
RNAcentral lists this ribosomal RNA (960 nucleotides) under Bacillus sp. (in: firmicutes). RNAcentral's name for it is "bacterial SSU rRNA". It matches the Rfam family "Bacterial small subunit ribosomal RNA", at positions 69 to 1015 of the family's 1533-position model. Lineage: Bacteria; Bacillati; Bacillota; Bacilli; Caryophanales; Bacillaceae. The record is from RNAcentral.